UACGUAGGGUGCGAGCGUUAAUCGGAAUUACUGGGCGUAAAGCGUGCGCAGGCGGUUCGCCAAGUCCGGGGUGAAAUCCCCGGGCUUAACCUGGGAAUUGCGCUUGAAACUAGCGGGCUUGAGUGUGGCAGAGGGGGGUGGAAUUCCACGUGUAGCAGUGAAAUGCGUAGAGAUGUGGAGGAACACCGAUGGCGAAGGCAGCCCCCUGGGUCAACACUGACGCUCAUGCACGAAAGCGUGGGGAGCAAACAGG
This 253-nucleotide ribosomal RNA is filed under the name uncultured bacterium. Its description in RNAcentral is "partial 16S ribosomal RNA". It matches the Rfam family "Bacterial small subunit ribosomal RNA", at positions 524 to 776 of the family's 1533-position model. The record is from RNAcentral.